Molecule: ribosomal RNA, 254 nt
Filed under: uncultured bacterium
Lineage: Bacteria
Description: partial 16S ribosomal RNA
Rfam family: Bacterial small subunit ribosomal RNA
Source: RNAcentral
CACGUAGGGGGCGAGCGUUGUCCGGAUUUAUUGGGCGUAAAGAGCUCGUAGGCGGCUCGGUAAGUCAGGUGUGAAAACUCUAGGCUCAACCUAGAGACGCCACCUGAUACUGCUGUGGCUAGAGUCCGGUAGGGGAGCAUGGAAUUCCAGGUGUAGCGGUGAAAUGCGCAGAUAUCAGGAGGAACACCGGUGGCGAAGGCGGUUCUCUGGGCAUGUCCUGACGCUGAGGAGCGAAAGUGUGGGGAGCGAACAGG